RNAcentral lists this ribosomal RNA (468 nucleotides) under uncultured bacterium. RNAcentral's name for it is "partial 16S ribosomal RNA". It matches the Rfam family "Bacterial small subunit ribosomal RNA", at positions 28 to 507 of the family's 1533-position model. The record is from RNAcentral.
GACGAACGCUGGCGGCGUGCUUAACACAUGCAAGUCGAACGGAAAGGCCCUGCUUUUGUGGGGUGCUCGAGUGGCGAACGGGUGAGUAACACGUGAGUAACCUGCCCUUUACUUUGGGAUAACUUCAGGAAACUGGGGCUAAUACCGGAUAGGAGCUCCUGCUGCAUGGUGGGGGUUGGAAAGUUUCGGCGGUUGGGGAUGUACUCGCGGCUUAUCAGCUUGUUGGUGGGGUAGUGGCUUACCAAGGCUUUGACGGGUAGCCGGCCUGAGAGGGUGACCGGCCACAUUGGGACUGAGAUACGGCCCAGACUCCUACGGGAGGCAGCAGUGGGGAAUAUUGCACAAUGGGCGGAAGCCUGAUGCAGCAACGCCGCGUGCGGGAUGACGGCCUUCGGGUUGUAAACCGCUUUCGCCUGUGACGAAGCGUGAGUGACGGUAAUGGGUAAAGAAGCACCGGCUAACUACGUG